RNAcentral lists this small RNA (179 nucleotides) under Chelonoidis abingdonii (Abingdon island giant tortoise). RNAcentral's name for it is "TUC338 (ENSCABG00000006124.1)". The record is from RNAcentral. Lineage: Eukaryota; Metazoa; Chordata; Testudines; Testudinidae.
UUCACAGCUUUGGAGAGCAGGGCCCAUUGUUUAUCCUCAGAAGAGCUACAGCAUGUGCAGCAGAGCUAGUUUGCCCCCGGACUGCCCUGUCAAAUGUGCCUCACCCCCUCACCUGCAGGGUUCACCUCUACUGGUGAGAGGGUAGUUUUGUCUUGAUGCUUGUUCAGUCCUUGAUCUCU